AUUGAACGCUGGCGGCAGGCCUAACACAUGCAAGUCGAACGAGUGGCGGACUGGUGAGUAAUGUCUGGGAAACUGCCCGAUGGAGGGGUAUAACUACUGGAAACGGUGGCUACUACCGCAUACCAUCGGAUGUGCCCAGAUGGGCUUAGCUAGUAGGUGGGGUACCGGGUCACCUAGGCGACGAUCCCUAGCUGGUCUGAGAGGAUGACCAGCCACACUGGAACUGAGACACGGUCCAGACUGCUACGGGAGGCAGCAGUGGGGAAUAUUGCACAAUGGGCUCAAGCCUGAUGCAGCAAUGCCGCGGGUAGGAAGAAGGGCUUCGGGUUGUAAAGUACUUUCAGCGGGGAGGCGUUACCCGCAGAAGAAGCACCGGCUAACACCGUGCCAGCAGCCGCGGUAAUUC
Molecule: ribosomal RNA, 406 nt
Filed under: uncultured bacterium
Lineage: Bacteria
Description: partial 16S ribosomal RNA
Rfam family: Bacterial small subunit ribosomal RNA
Source: RNAcentral